RNAcentral lists this ribosomal RNA (492 nucleotides) under uncultured bacterium. RNAcentral describes it as "partial 16S ribosomal RNA". It matches the Rfam family "Bacterial small subunit ribosomal RNA", at positions 29 to 507 of the family's 1533-position model. The record is from RNAcentral.
AGUGAACGCUGGCGGUAGGCCUAACACAUGCAAGUCGAACGGCAGCACAGUAAGAGCUUGCUCUUACGGGUGGCGAGUGGCGGACGGGUGAGGAAUACAUCGGAAUCUACUUUUUCGUGGGGGAUAACGUAGGGAAACUUACGCUAAUACCGCAUACGACCUACGGGUGAAAGCAGGGGAUCUUCGGACCUUGCGCGAUUGAAUGAGCCGAUGUCGGAUUAGCCAGUUGGCGGGGUAAAGGCCCACCAAGGCGACGAUCCGUAGCUGGUCUGAGAGGAUGAUCAGCCACACUGGAACUGAGACACGGCCCAGACUCCUACGGGAGGCAGCAGUGGGGAAUAUUGGACAAUGGGCGCAAGCCUGAUCCAGCCAUACCGCGUGGGUGAAGAAGGCCUUCGGGUUGUAAAGCCCUUUUGUUGGGAAAGAAAAGCAGCAGGUUAAUACCCCGCUGUUCUGACGGUACCCAAAGAAUAAGCACUGGCUAACUUCGUG